AGCCAGACUCCUACGGGAGGCAGCAGUGGGGAAUAUUGCACAAUGGGGGGAACCCUGAUGCAGCGACGCCGCGUGGGUGAAGGAGUACUUCGGUACGUAAAGCCCUAUCAGCAGGAAAGAAAAUGACGGUACCUGAGUAAGAAGCCCCGGCUAACUACGUGCCAGCAGCCGCGGUAAUACGUAGGGGGCAAGCGUUAUCCGGAUUUACUGGGUGUAAAGGGAGCGUAGACGGUAUGGCAAGUCUGAAGUGAAAGCCCCGGGCUCAACCUGGGAACUGCUUUGGAAACUGUUAAACUAGAGUGCUGGAGAGGCAGGCGGAAUUCCUAGUGUAGCGGUGAAAUGCGUAGAUAUUAGGAGGAACACCAGUGGCGAAGGCGGCCUGCUGGACAGUAACUGACGUUGAGGCUCGAAAGCGUGGGGAGCAAACAGGAUUAGAUACCCGGGUA
This 446-nucleotide ribosomal RNA is filed under the name uncultured bacterium. RNAcentral describes it as "bacterial SSU rRNA". It matches the Rfam family "Bacterial small subunit ribosomal RNA", at positions 329 to 792 of the family's 1533-position model. The record is from RNAcentral.